Molecule: ribosomal RNA, 232 nt
Filed under: uncultured bacterium
Lineage: Bacteria
Description: partial 16S ribosomal RNA
Rfam family: Bacterial small subunit ribosomal RNA
Source: RNAcentral
UACGUAGGGUCCGAGCGUUGUCCGGAAUUAUCUGGGCGUAAAGAGCUCGUAGGUGGUUUGUCGCGUUGUUCGUGAAAACUCACAGCUUAACUGUGGGCGUGCGGGCGAUAACGGGCAGACGUAGAGUACUGCGAGGGGAGACUGGAAUUCCUGGUGUAGCGGUGGAAUGCGCAGAUAUCAGGAAGAACACCCGUGGCGGAAGGCGGCUCUCUGGGACGGUACUGGACGCUGA